AUGUCGAAUCUGCAACCAACCUAUUUGAUCGCCAAAAGGGAGACGAGGGAGGGUAGGGGAGAGGAGUGGAGCGAAGGCGGCGUGGCGUUGGGUUUCCGGGUGAAGGCUUGUUCCCGCGAGUCGGCGGCGCAGAAGGCGGCCAACGUGCUGGAGCCCGACCUCCGCUCCCACUGGUCCACCGCCACCAACACCAAGGAGUGGAUCCUCCUCGAGCUCAAGGAGCCCUGCCUCGUCUCCCACAUCCGCAUCUACAACAAGUCCGUCCUCAAAUGGGAGGUCACGGCGGGGCUGUGCUACAAGCCCGAGGCGUUCGUCAAGGUCCGUCCGCGCGGCGAAGCUCCCAAGCGCGACAUGGUGUACCCGGCGAACCACACCCCUUGCCGCUACGUCCGCGUCUCGGGGCAGCCCCAUUGCCAUCUUCUUCAUCCAGCUCAUCGGAACCCCUGUACCUGGCCUCGAACCUGAAUUCCAACCUCUCGUCAACUACUUGUUGCCGCAAAUCUCUUCCUCGCAGAAGCAAUCUUAUUCUUCCCACAAUAUGCAUCUGCAGUUACUCAAAGACAUUGCGAGCAGGCUAUCACCGUUUCUGCCCCAGAUUGAGGCUGACCUUAAUAGCAUAGCAGACACCCCAGAGAGCAGUGUUCGGUUUUUGGCUCUGCUUGCUGGCCCAUUUUACCCUAUCCUUCGCCUUAUACAUGAAAGGGAUGCUACAAAAACGUUGAUCUGCUCUGCUGAUUCAGAUACCCUAAAGAUCAGUGUGGCUUCUACUCCAACCGUGUCCUCAAACUUCGAGGCACAACCUAGGAGAUCACGGAGUCCAUCUUCUGUUGAGCCUGCUUCACGUAUGCUGGCAUUUCGAUCUGAAACAGCUGUACUACUCUUAAGAAAAGCACAGAAAGACAAAACCCUUAGAAUUGUUUGCUACCGAGUAUCAAGGGUACCGCAAAAACUUCUUGAGCCUGAGCCAUUGUUUGACGAACGAGUCAAUUUCUAAUGAUGGCAUGUUUUUGAGUCAUGUCUCUGAUGAAGUUCAUAAAAGUGAUUCUUCCAGCCUACUUUUUACAAACUACUCUAAUUUGUUUGGAGAAGAAACUAGCUUACCGGAAAAUCACUUCGAUAGCUCUUUUCUGAAUGUUUUGGAUAUUGCUGCUGCUGAAGAAGGCAUCCUUCAUGUACUGUAUGCAACCACAUCACAGCCUCAGUUAAGUUGCAAGCUUUCUGAAACUUCUUCAGACAUGUGGUCUGUCUUACCGCUUGUUCAAGCUCUUCUUCCAGCGCUUCGUCCUACAUUCAGUGUUGGCCCUACCAAACAGGUUGAUGAUUCUUUUAGCCAAUGGAACCAUCCAGAUGUUCAUAAGGCUCUUUCCCAGAUUGGCAUCAUUUACCAUUCCUUAAGGCAAGAGCAGCUUGUGUUUUGCUUGAUUUGUGCACGGGGCCAUUAUCACCUUGGGUGCCCAUGGUCACAGCAAAGUGGAACUUCUGGAGGAUCUCCUAGGUGUUAUCCAGCACUGAAGUAUGUUGUUUUGGCCAUAUCUGGGAAUAUGGAUGAUGUUCUCACAGAAUAUAAAGAAGUCAAGCAUAAACUCCUUUUCAUUCUGGAGAUGCUGGAUCCUUUUAUUGGUCAUGCUAUAAGUGCCAGGGAAGACACGGUAUCAUUUGGCGGUGUCUCUGCUGUGAAUUUGGAGAAACAAGCAAAAGCUUGCGACCUUGCCUUAAAUAUUAUUCGUACAGCAGCAAAGAAUCCUGCUGUACUCCCUUCUUUGGAACUUGAAUGGCGGCGAGGUGCUGUUGCCCCAAGUAACAGCAUCCUGAAUUGUACGGGGCAACCGUUCUGUGUAAUAGAAGAGGGCUAUUUGACACGAAUGUCCUUGUUGUUGCUUUCAAAGGCCUGUCUUUAUUCUUCUUCUGAAGAUAUUGCUUUAAUACCUGAAUGUGUUUGGAGGAAGUUAGAAAACAUGCAAACAUCAGUAACCGGGGUUUUUGGUGAUGUCGAGAAAGAUCUCUGCCGAGCUUUAUGUCAGCUAAGAAUUGAAUCCGAUGCUAAAACAGUUGUAAAAGAACUUCUUGCAGGAUCAACUACAAAACCAGUCAACACUGAUUAUAAGAGCAUUCGUGAAUCAAUUCUUCAGGUUUUAUCGUCCUUGAGUUCUGUUGAAUCAUACUUCGAGUUCUUCUCAAUCAGAUCGGAUCGGGAAUAUCAGGAACUUGAAGAAGCUGAGAUUGAAUUGGAGCUUAUUGCAAACGAGAAAGCAGUCCAGAAAUUUGUUGGACAUCCCCAGGAUAUCGUGGUGGCUCCAGACGUGUUAUCAUAUUAUAAGGAUGGUACUGAAGUUAUAAACGGCUUCAGCAGAUCCGUCAAGAUAUACGGUCCCUAGAAAGGUCCAAGCUCAGAGAGGAAAUUAUAGCACGCCGACAGAAGAAGCUGCUUAUCAGACAUGCUCAGGAGAAGUACUUGGAAGAGACGAGUUUUAAGGAAAUGGAGCUUAUGCAAGAGCUUGAUAGGGAAAAGAGCUCUUGAGAUGGAGCAUGAAAUUGAAAGGCAGCGACAGCUAGACCUUGAGCGUGUGAAGUCCAGGGAACUGCAAUAUAAACUAGAUAUGGAAAGAGAGAAACAAACUCAGAGAGAGCUUGAACGUGAGUUGGAGCAAGUUGAGUUGGGUGGUGAGGAAGAUGAGGCAAAGCAUGGUGAAUUGGGCAGGGGAUCUAGCUCCAGCAACUGGCACCCACCCCACAACUGUAGUUGAAUCUGUGUGUCCUGUGCAUAUUGUGAAAACAUCUGCAUGAUUUCAUGCACAAAACACAACCGUGUCAGAGUUGCAUGCUUGUUGUCAAUAUGCCCUGGAACUUGUCAUGUACUUGCAUCAAAGAUGCAGUAGUAUCAAUGUAGCAGAGCAGAGACAAGGUGGCAAAUUCAGACAUGAAGAGAUUGGGUGAAAGUCACAUUGAGUGCACUACACCAGUCUGCCACAACAAAAUAGUCGCUAUUCUGGGAAAAAGCAAUGGGGUACAUCAUCAUCAUACUGUUGCCAUUCCGCUGUAUCAUACAAUCACAUUACCAACGACCUAACUGGUACAAAUGAAUAGGUGCAUAUUGUAUAUUGAA
Molecule: RNA transcript, 3103 nt
Organism: Brachypodium distachyon (stiff brome)
Lineage: Eukaryota; Viridiplantae; Streptophyta; Magnoliopsida; Poales; Poaceae
Exons: 23
Source: RefSeq, a predicted model, not a curated record